Molecule: ribosomal RNA, 324 nt
Filed under: uncultured Chloroflexota bacterium
Lineage: Bacteria; Bacillati; Chloroflexota
Description: bacterial SSU rRNA
Rfam family: Bacterial small subunit ribosomal RNA
Source: RNAcentral
GAUAAACGCUGGCGGCGUGCCUAAUACAUGCAAGUCGAACGGAGGUAUGUAGCAAUACGUGCCUUAGUGGCGAAUGGGUGAGUAACGCGUUGGUGACCUGCCCCGAAGAGGGGGAUAACGGUUCGAAAGGACUGCUAAUACCCCAUGUGGUUAUAAGAGUUAGAGUUCUUAUAUCUAAAGGAGUAAUCCACUUCGGGAGGGGCCUGCGUCCCAUCAGCUAGUUGGUAGGGUAACGGCCUACCAAGGCGACGACGGGUAGGGGGCCUGAGAGGGUGGCCCCCCACACUGGCACUGAAACACGGGCCAGACACCUACGGGUGGCAG